Molecule: ribosomal RNA, 434 nt
Filed under: uncultured Lachnospiraceae bacterium
Lineage: Bacteria; Bacillati; Bacillota; Clostridia; Lachnospirales; Lachnospiraceae
Description: partial 16S ribosomal RNA
Rfam family: Bacterial small subunit ribosomal RNA
Source: RNAcentral
ACGGAAGGCAGCAGUGGGGAAUAUUGCACAAUGGGGGAAACCCUGAUGCAGCGACGCCGCGUGAGUGAAGAAGUAUUUCGGUAUGUAAAGCUCUAUCAGCAGGAAAGAAGAUGACGGUACCUGACUAAGAAGCCCCGGCUAACUACGUGCCAGCAGCCGCGGUAAUACGUAGGGGGCAAGCGUUAUCCGGAUUUACUGGGUGUAAAGGGAGCGUAGACGGCUUUGCAAGUCUGAAGUGAAAGCCCGGGGCUCAACCCCGGAACUGCUUUGGAAACUGUAGAGCUAGAGUGCAGGAGAGGUAAGUGGAAUUCCUAGUGUAGCGGUGAAAUGCGUAGAUAUUAGGAGGAACACCAGUGGCGAAGGCGGCUUACUGGACUGUAACUGACGUUGAGGCUCGAAGGCGUGGGGAGCAAACAGGAUUAGAUACCCUGGUA